Rhinopithecus roxellana (golden snub-nosed monkey) is the source of this 635-nucleotide RNA transcript. It is a transcript of the gene named proteasome subunit beta type-3 pseudogene, with no coding region annotated. NCBI's taxonomy places the organism in Eukaryota, Metazoa, Chordata, Mammalia, Primates, Cercopithecidae. The transcript has a single exon. The record is from RefSeq and is a predicted model, not a curated record.
AUGUCUAGUAUGUCCCAUAGCUGAGGGGCCAUCAUGGCCAUGAAGGAGAAGAGUUGCAUGGCUAUAGCUGCAGACAGGCGCUUCGGAAUCCAGGCCCAAAUGGUUACCACGGACUUCCAGAAGAUCUUUCCCAUGGAUGACCGGCUCUAUAUCCAUCUGGCCCGGCUGGUCACUGAUAUCCAGGCAGUUGUCCAGUGCCUCAAGUUCCGGCUGAACCUGUGUGAGUUGAAGGAAGGUCAGCUGUCAAAUCUUACACCCUUAUGAGCAUGGUGGCCAAGGCCUCUUGUCUGAGAAACGGUUUGGCCCCUACUAUACUGAGCCAGUCAUUGCUGGGUUGGACCUGAAGACCUUUAAGCCCUUUAUUUGCUCUCUAGACCUCACUGGCUGCCCCAUGGUGACUGACGACUUUAUGGUCAGUGGCACCUGUGCAGAACAAAUGUAUGAAAUGUGCGAGUCCCUCUGGGAGUCCAACAUGGAUCCAGAACACCUGUUUGAAAUCAUAUUCCAAGCCAUGAGGAAUGCUGUGGACCAGAAUGCAGUGUCAGGCAUGGGAGUCAUUGUCCACAUCACUGAGAAGGACAAAAUCACCACCAGGACACUGAAGGCCCUAAUGGACUAACCCUGCUCCCAGAGCC